This 2849-nucleotide ribosomal RNA is filed under the name Escherichia coli. RNAcentral describes it as "bacterial LSU rRNA". It matches the Rfam family "Bacterial large subunit ribosomal RNA", at positions 391 to 2925 of the family's 2925-position model. Lineage: Bacteria; Pseudomonadati; Pseudomonadota; Gammaproteobacteria; Enterobacterales; Enterobacteriaceae. The record is from RNAcentral.
CACAUGCUGUGAGCUCGAUGAGUAGGGCGGGACACGUGGUAUCCUGUCUGAAUAUGGGGGGACCAUCCUCCAAGGCUAAAUACUCCUGACUGACCGAUAGUGAACCAGUACCGUGAGGGAAAGGCGAAAAGAACCCCGGCGAGGGGAGUGAAAAAGAACCUGAAACCGUGUACGUACAAGCAGUGGGAGCACGCUUAGGCGUNACUGACCGAUAGUGAACCAGUACCGUGAGGGAAAGGCGAAAAGAACCCCGGCGAGGGGAGUGAAAAAGAACCUGAAACCGUGUACGUACAAGCAGUGGGAGCCUCUUUAUGGGNCCAUCCUCCAAGGCUAAAUACUCCUGACUGACCGAUAGUGAACCAGUACCGUGAGGGAAAGGCGAAAAGAACCCCGGCGAGGGGAGUGAAAAAGAACCUGAAACCGUGUACGUACAAGCAGUGGGAGCACGCUUAGGCGUGUGACUGCGUACCUUUUGUAUAAUGGGUCAGCGACUUAUAUUCUGUAGCAAGGUUAACCGAAUAGGGGAGCCGAAGGGAAACCGAGUCUUAACUGGGCGUUAAGUUGCAGGGUAUAGACCCGAAACCCGGUGAUCUAGCCAUGGGCAGGUUGAAGGUUGGGUAACACUAACUGGAGGACCGAACCGACUAAUGUUGAAAAAUUAGCGGAUGACUUGUGGCUGGGGGUGAAAGGCCAAUCAAACCGGGAGAUAGCUGGUUCUCCCCGAAAGCUAUUUAGGUAGCGCCUCGUGAAUUCAUCUCCGGGGGUAGAGCACUGUUUCGGCAAGGGGGUCAUCCCGACUUACCAACCCGAUGCAAACUGCGAAUACCGGAGAAUGUUAUCACGGGAGACACACGGCGGGUGCUAACGUCCGUCGUGAAGAGGGAAACAACCCAGACCGCCAGCUAAGGUCCCAAAGUCAUGGUUAAGUGGGAAACGAUGUGGGAAGGCCCAGACAGCCAGGAUGUUGGCUUAGAAGCAGCCAUCAUUUAAAGAAAGCGUAAUAGCUCACUGGUCGAGUCGGCCUGCGCGGAAGAUGUAACGGGGCUAAACCAUGCACCGAAGCUGCGGCAGCGACGCUUAUGCGUUGUUGGGUAGGGGAGCGUUCUGUAAGCCUGUGAAGGUGUGCUGUGAGGCAUGCUGGAGGUAUCAGAAGUGCGAAUGCUGACAUAAGUAACGAUAAAGCGGGUGAAAAGCCCGCUCGCCGGAAGACCAAGGGUUCCUGUCCAACGUUAAUCGGGGCAGGGUGAGUCGACCCCUAAGGCGAGGCCGAAAGGCGUAGUCGAUGGGAAACAGGUUAAUAUUCCUGUACUUGGUGUUACUGCGAAGGGGGGACGGAGAAGGCUAUGUUGGCCGGGCGACGGUUGUCCCGGUUUAAGCGUGUAGGCUGGUUUUCCAGGCAAAUCCGGAAAAUCAAGGCUGAGGCGUGAUGACGAGGCACUACGGUGCUGAAGCAACAAAUGCCCUGCUUCCAGGAAAAGCCUCUAAGCAUCAGGUAACAUCAAAUCGUACCCCAAACCGACACAGGUGGUCAGGUAGAGAAUACCAAGGCGCUUGAGAGAACUCGGGUGAAGGAACUAGGCAAAAUGGUGCCGUAACUUCGGGAGAAGGCACGCUGAUAUGUAGGUGAAGUCCCUCGCGGAUGGAGCUGAAAUCAGUCGAAGAUACCAGCUGGCUGCAACUGUUUAUUAAAAACACAGCACUGUGCAAACACGAAAGUGGACGUAUACGGUGUGACGCCUGCCCGGUGCCGGAAGGUUAAUUGAUGGGGUCAGCGCAAGCGAAGCUCUUGAUCGAAGCCCCGGUAAACGGCGGCCGUAACUAUAACGGUCCUAAGGUAGCGAAAUUCCUUGUCGGGUAAGUUCCGACCUGCACGAAUGGCGUAAUGAUGGCCAGGCUGUCUCCACCCGAGACUCAGUGAAAUUGAACUCGCUGUGAAGAUGCAGUGUACCCGCGGCAAGACGGAAAGACCCCGUGAACCUUUACUAUAGCUUGACACUGAACAUUGAGCCUUGAUGUGUAGGAUAGGUGGGAGGCUUAGAAGUGUGGACGCCAGUCUGCAUGGAGCCGACCUUGAAAUACCACCCUUUAAUGUUUGAUGUUCUAACGUUGACCCGUAAUCCGGGUUGCGGACAGUGUCUGGUGGGUAGUUUGACUGGGGCGGUCUCCUCCUAAAGAGUAACGGAGGAGCACGAAGGUUGGCUAAUCCUGGUCGGACAUCAGGAGGUUAGUGCAAUGGCAUAAGCCAGCUUGACUGCGAGCGUGACGGCGCGAGCAGGUGCGAAAGCAGGUCAUAGUGAUCCGGUGGUUCUGAAUGGAAGGGCCAUCGCUCAACGGAUAAAAGGUACUCCGGGGAUAACAGGCUGAUACCGCCCAAGAGUUCAUAUCGACGGCGGUGUUUGGCACCUCGAUGUCGGCUCAUCACAUCCUGGGGCUGAAGUAGGUCCCAAGGGUAUGGCUGUUCGCCAUUUAAAGUGGUACGCGAGCUGGGUUUAGAACGUCGUGAGACAGUUCGGUCCCUAUCUGCCGUGGGCGCUGGAGAACUGAGGGGGGCUGCUCCUAGUACGAGAGGACCGGAGUGGACGCAUCACUGGUGUUCGGGUUGUCAUGCCAAUGGCACUGCCCGGUAGCUAAAUGCGGAAGAGAUAAGUGCUGAAAGCAUCUAAGCACGAAACUUGCCCCGAGAUGAGUUCUCCCUGACCCUUUAAGGNCGAAACUUGCCCCGAGAUGAGUUCUCCCUGACUCCUUGAGAGUCCUGAAGGAACGUUGAAGACGACGACGUUGAUAGGCCGGGUGUGUAAGCGCAGCGAUGCGUUGAGCUAACCGGUACUAAUGAACCGUGAGGCUUAACC